RNAcentral lists this long non-coding RNA (923 nucleotides) under Sus scrofa (pig). Its description in RNAcentral is "lncRNA (ENSSSCG00070027747.1)". The record is from RNAcentral. Lineage: Eukaryota; Metazoa; Chordata; Mammalia; Artiodactyla; Suidae.
AGAGCAAAGAGCUGAACGUCUUGCCCUAGGACUAAAACCUGGUGUAUUCCUGGCUACAGUUCACUUCCUUUCAAAAUAGAAUCUCCUACCACCAGUACCCCAACUGACAGAAUUAAGUAUUUCUAUUCCCUUUCUUCUGUUACUUGAAUAUAUACCUACCCUGUGGCCAUUGCAUUUAAUUUGCAGUUGUUCACUUGCAUGUCCAUCUUCCUAUGACAUUGUUACUUAAAGAGAAGGACCAGAUCUUUUCUUCUUAGUUCCCCUUAGAGUCCAGCAAAAUUCUCUGUAUGUAGUAGGUUCUUGGUAGCCAAACAGAAUGAAUAUGUGAAUGAAUGAGCAGUUUGAAUUCUUUAGGUCUGUAGCACUGAAUCAGGCUACCUGGAGUAACUCUUCUCUAGGUUCCACCUUUUCCUGACCCUGCAGACCUCAGGACAGCACACUGACUUUCACUGACAGAAGAGACAGACGUGCUCCAAAACAAAACCACCAAGACACACCACAGAAUACUUGAGAAUGUGUUCCUCUAAAAUGUCCCUGACUCCUCUUACCAGCCGUGGUCAUCAUCCUUAGCCCACAGAUCCUCGGCUAGGAGGCUGUUUGUGGCAUGAUUCCUUACUGGGUGAGAGUUGGCAGAUUGCAUCUCAACAGGGGAGCUGAGUACAAAGGAAACACGGAAGGUGGCUGCUUUCAGGAGCACCAACAUGUACCACGGAACAAAAGUUUGAGACUUGCAACUGGCUGAGCUUGUGGACAGGGUCCUUCUUCAUCUGGUGAGCAGCAUCCUUGGGUUCCGAACCUCAUUUCUAGUUAGGAAACUAGUGGUCUCAGGCAGAGAGGCCGCAGACUCUCCAGGGCCUCUAUCCCUUGGGACUCCUGCUUGACAGCUGCCUUCCUACUCUCCAGCACAGACAUCAGACUGCCAC